UCCUCCUGGCAACAGGCAAAGAGACACCUCGAUAGUGGUGUUCUUACAUUGGUCAGAGGCAGGGCAGAUAGAAGUCCUUUGUUCAUCCUAGCUUGAUGCCUGACUUGGUGGAAAAGGCCGUUUUAUUCCUAGAACACAUAA
Molecule: small nucleolar RNA, 141 nt
Organism: Rattus norvegicus (Norway rat)
Lineage: Eukaryota; Metazoa; Chordata; Mammalia; Rodentia; Muridae
Product: small nucleolar RNA SNORA48
Source: Ensembl